AACGAACGCUGGCGGCGUGCCUAACACAUGCAAGUCGAACGGUAACAGGUCCUUCGGGACGCUGACGAGUGGCGCACGGGUGAGUAACGCGUGGGUUACCUGCCCAUAAGUGGGGAACAACUUGGAGAAAUCCAAGCUAAUACCGCAUAAUACCUUCGGGUUAAAGAGGGGGAUCUUCGGACCUCUCGCUUAUGGAUGGUCCCGCGUCUGAUUAGCUAGUUGGUGGGGUAAAAGCCUACCAAGGCAAUGAUCAGUAGCUGGUCUGAGAGGAUGAUCAGUCACACUGGAACUGAGACACGGUCCAGACUCCUACGGGGAGGCAGCAGUGGGGGAAUAUUGCACAAUGGGCGAAAGCCUGAUGCAGCGACGCCGCGUGCGGGAAGAAGGCCUUCGGUUGUAACGCUUUCAAGGGAAGAAGGAAUGAGAGUUAAUACCUCUCUGCCUUGACGGUACCUGUAGAAGAAG
This 465-nucleotide ribosomal RNA is filed under the name uncultured bacterium. RNAcentral's name for it is "bacterial SSU rRNA". It matches the Rfam family "Bacterial small subunit ribosomal RNA", at positions 29 to 490 of the family's 1533-position model. The record is from RNAcentral.